Telopea speciosissima is the source of this 176-nucleotide long non-coding RNA. RefSeq lists it as uncharacterized. The transcript is spliced from 3 exons. Lineage: Eukaryota; Viridiplantae; Streptophyta; Magnoliopsida; Proteales; Proteaceae. The record is from RefSeq and is a predicted model, not a curated record.
CCCUCUAUUUCUGCUAGACUCUCUUCAGGCUUUUUGACCGAAUUCAUAAAUUUGGAAAACAAAUUAUUCCGAAAAUUUCACCUUUUCAACUUAUUCCUGGAUCCAAAUUUGUCGACUGGAGCUUCCAAAAUUUUAUAAAUAAAGCUUCUCCAAAACCUAACCACUGCCACUCUUGC